ACACUCCUACGGGAGGCAGCAGUGGGGAAUAUUGGACAAUGGGCGCAAGCCUGAUCCAGCCAUGCCGCGUGAGUGAUGAAGGCCCUAGGGUUGUAAAGCUCUUUCACCGGAGAAGAUAAUGACGGUAUCCGGAGAAGAAGCCCCGGCUAACUUCGUGCCAGCAGCCGCGGUAAUACGAAGGGGGCUAGCGUUGUUCGGAAUUACUGGGCGUAAAGCGCACGUAGGCGGAUCGAUCAGUCAGGGGUGAAAUCCCAGGGCUCAACCCUGGAACUGCCUUUGAUACUGUCGAUCUGGAGUAUGGAAGAGGUGAGUGGAAUUCCGAGUGUAGAGGUGAAAUUCGUAGAUAUUCGGAGGAACACCAGUGGCGAAGGCGGCUCACUGGUCCAUUACUGACGCUGAGGUGCGAAAGCGUGGGGAGCAAACAGGAUUAGAUACCCCAGUAGUCCCAUG
RNAcentral lists this ribosomal RNA (450 nucleotides) under uncultured organism. RNAcentral's name for it is "partial 16S ribosomal RNA". It matches the Rfam family "Bacterial small subunit ribosomal RNA", at positions 333 to 799 of the family's 1533-position model. The record is from RNAcentral.